Molecule: ribosomal RNA, 428 nt
Filed under: uncultured bacterium
Lineage: Bacteria
Description: partial 16S ribosomal RNA
Rfam family: Bacterial small subunit ribosomal RNA
Source: RNAcentral
GUGGGGAAUAUUGGGCAAUGGGCGAAAGCCUGACCCAGCGACGCCGAGUGGGGGAAGAAGUCCCUCGGGAUGUAAACCCUUGUUGUACGGGACGAAGGAAGUGACGGUACCGUACGAGGAAGCCCCGGCAAACUACGUGCCAGCAGCCGCGGUAAUACGUAGGGGGCGAGCGUUGUCCGGAAUCACUGGGCGUAAAGCGCACGUAGGCGGGCUGUUAAGUCGGCCGUGAAAGGCACUGGCUCAACCGGUGUUUGUCGGUCGAUACUGGCAGUCUGGAGUAUGGGAGAGGGAACUGGAAUUCCUGGUGUAGCGGUGAAAUGCGUAGAUAUCGGGAGGAACACCAGUGGCGAAGGCGGGUUCCUGGCCCAUGACUGACGCUGAGGUGCGAAAGCCGGGGGAGCGAACGGGAUUAGAAACCCUUGUAGUCC